This 501-nucleotide ribosomal RNA is filed under the name Saccharomyces cerevisiae (brewer's yeast). Its description in RNAcentral is "eukaryotic LSU rRNA". It matches the Rfam family "Eukaryotic large subunit ribosomal RNA", at positions 121 to 636 of the family's 3401-position model. The record is from RNAcentral. Lineage: Eukaryota; Fungi; Ascomycota; Saccharomycetes; Saccharomycetales; Saccharomycetaceae.
UCUGGUACCUUCGGUGCCCGAGUUGUAAUUUGGAGAGGGCAACUUUGGGGCCGUUCCUUGUCUAUGUUCCUUGGAACAGGACGUCAUAGAGGGUGAGAAUCCCGUGUGGCGAGGAGUGCGGUUCUUUGUAAAGUGCCUUCGAAGAGUCGAGUUGUUUGGGAAUGCAGCUCUAAGUGGGUGGUAAAUUCCAUCUAAAGCUAAAUAUUGGCGAGAGACCGAUAGCGAACAAGUACAGUGAUGGAAAGAUGAAAAGAACUUUGAAAAGAGAGUGAAAAAGUACGUGAAAUUGUUGAAAGGGAAGGGCAUUUGAUCAGACAUGGUGUUUUGUGCCCUCUGCUCCUUGUGGGUAGGGGAAUCUCGCAUUUCACUGGGCCAGCAUCAGUUUUGGUGGCAGGAUAAAUCCAUAGGAAUGUAGCUUGCCUCGGUAAGUGUUAUAGCCUGUGGGAAUACUGCCAGCUGGGACUGAGGACUGCGACGUAAGUCAAGGAUGCUGGCAUAAUG